GACGUAGGGGGCCAGCGUUGUUCGGAAUUACUGGGUGUAAAGGGUUCGUAGGCGGUGUGGCAAGUCGGGAGUGAAAUCUCUGGGCUCAACCCAGAGACUGCUUCCGAAACUGCUGUGCUUGAGUGUGAGAGAGGCUCGUGGAAUUGCAGGUGUAGCGGUGAAAUGCGUAGAUAUCUGCAGGAACACCCGUGGCGAAAGCGGCGAGCUGGAUCACUACUGACGCUGAGGAACGAAAGCUAGGGGAGCAAACAGG
Molecule: ribosomal RNA, 253 nt
Filed under: uncultured bacterium
Lineage: Bacteria
Also listed under: 1 other name
Description: partial 16S ribosomal RNA
Rfam family: Bacterial small subunit ribosomal RNA
Source: RNAcentral